UGGUCAUUACCAAGGCUUUUAGAAUGCAGCUUCUCAUUUGCUAUGGACAUGAUCACAAAAUAUUUUCCCAUUAGGUUGUUUUUUCUGCUACGUUGGUAGCAUUCAGCUUAUUGGGAACAUUU
Molossus molossus (Pallas's mastiff bat) is the source of this 122-nucleotide small nucleolar RNA. RefSeq annotates it as small nucleolar RNA SNORA32. The record is from RefSeq and is a predicted model, not a curated record. NCBI's taxonomy places the organism in Eukaryota, Metazoa, Chordata, Mammalia, Chiroptera, Molossidae. The transcript has a single exon.